This 253-nucleotide ribosomal RNA is filed under the name uncultured bacterium. RNAcentral's name for it is "partial 16S ribosomal RNA". It matches the Rfam family "Bacterial small subunit ribosomal RNA", at positions 524 to 776 of the family's 1533-position model. The record is from RNAcentral.
UACGUAGGGUCCGAGCGUUGUCCGGAAUUAUUGGGCGUAAAGGGCUCGUAGGCGGUCCGUCGCGUCGGGAGUGAAAACUCGGAGCUUAACUCCGAGCCUGCUUCCGAUACGGGCAGACUAGAGGUAGGCAGGGGAGAGCGGAACUCCUGGUGUAGCGGUGGAAUGCGCAGAUAUCAGGAAGAACACCGGUGGCGAAAGCAGCUCUCUGGGACGGUACUGACGCUGAGACGCGAAAGCGUGGGGAGCGAACAGG